GACAGAGGGUGCAAACGUUGUUCGGAAUUACUGGGCGUAAAGCGCGUGUAGGCGGCUAAGUAAGUCGGGCGUGAAAUCCCACGGCUCAACCGUGGAAGUGCACUCGAAACUGCAUAGCUAGAGUCCUGGAGAGGAAGGUGGAAUGCUUGGUGUAGAGGUGAAAUUCGUAGAUAUCAAGCGGAACACCAGUGGCGAAGGCGGCUUACUGGUCCGGUUCUGACGCUGAGGCGCGAAAGCGUGGGGAGCAAACAGG
RNAcentral lists this ribosomal RNA (253 nucleotides) under uncultured bacterium. RNAcentral describes it as "partial 16S ribosomal RNA". It matches the Rfam family "Bacterial small subunit ribosomal RNA", at positions 524 to 776 of the family's 1533-position model. The record is from RNAcentral.